CGCGUAGGCGGUCUCUUAAGUCAGAUGUGAAAGCCCGGGGCUUAACCCCGGAAGUGCAUUUGAAACUAAGGGACUUGAGUAUGGGAGAGGGAAGUGGAAUUCCUGGUGUAGAGGUGAAAUUCGUAGAUAUCAGGAGGAACACCGGUGGCGAAGGCGACUUCCUGGACCAAUACUGACGCUGAUGCGCGAAGGCGUGGGGAGCAAACAGGAUUAGAUACCCUGGUAGUCC
This 229-nucleotide ribosomal RNA is filed under the name uncultured bacterium. RNAcentral's name for it is "partial 16S ribosomal RNA". It matches the Rfam family "Bacterial small subunit ribosomal RNA", at positions 568 to 796 of the family's 1533-position model. The record is from RNAcentral.